Long non-coding RNA from Aethalodelphis obliquidens (Pacific white-sided dolphin), 1385 nucleotides. RefSeq lists it as uncharacterized. The transcript has 3 exons. The record is from RefSeq and is a predicted model, not a curated record. Lineage: Eukaryota; Metazoa; Chordata; Mammalia; Artiodactyla; Delphinidae.
AUGUGCAGGUAUUGGUGUGUAUUGAUGUUCUGCUAGGUGUCGAGGGCACAUCUCCAGGUGAGCUCCAGGCGGGAUUCUGAGGAUUGGUAAAUGGAGGAAAUAUCAUGGUCGCUCUCUGCAACUUUAUACUUACCAGCGGGCUGGCCGGACGCAUAGGUCUCCACUCAGAGGAGGGCAGCUCAGACUCCAGCCAAAGUCAACAUCUUAGCUGGUCACUGUGACUGCCUGUCACCCCGCGCGUCUACAGCCCGCAGUGCCCGCCUCCGCUCCUGUGUUCUCCGCAUUGACCCCGCCACUCACUGAGCAGAACUCCAGGGGAGGCUCAGACACAAAGUCAUCCCAGAGCCCAUUUAUUUUUUAGCUGAACAUAACAGAGCCCUUUCCGGGGAGCUGCCUGCACAGAAUGUGCUUGCUAAGAAGCUUUUCUGAAGAAAUGCACCUGGCGUGGAUUUUGAUGGCCACUCAGCAGAAAUAGAUGUAGUUUGCUGAGGCUACAGACAUCUAGAUUGAGAAGAGAAUCCAUGAGUGACAAUGUGUAGCUUUCAGAACAUUCAGCUCAAAAAUAUACCAGUUGGGUAUAAAGAGGUUAAAAACUAUGGACCCAAACUUUGCGCUAUGAAAGCACCCUUGGCGUUUCCUCCACACACAGGAGUGAGCAGAGAGCCAGACUGUUCAGCUCUUGAACGUUUAAAGGAACCUGGAUCAAUAUAUGAAGAGAGAAAGAAAAACCUCUCACUGAACAACUACUAGUUCUAUAAACCCAACAAGAUGUCGAUUAUGAAAUGUACCAUUUGCACAGGGACUCUCCUCGUUUUUCUGCAGCCACCCAGUCCUCUGGAAGGACAGCGAUUAUUAAAAGUCACAGGUAGUACAAGCAGAUUUACAUGAAUUUAAAUGAAAUCCAAAUACCAAUUUAUGUCUGGCCGUGUUUUGUCAAAUUUCAACACAUAUCUGUAACAAAAUAAGGCAUAUGAGUUUUGAGCGAACAAGAUUUUAGCAAGAAAGGCAUGAAUUCCAACAUAAACAUUUAAAAUAUUAAUAAAACAUCUUGGACGUCGAGGAAUUCUUACCACAGUCAAGUUUUCUUUGGAGCGAAGGACCAGCUGGAUUCCUGUCUCCCUGGCUGCUGCGUUGGCCUGCGACAUGCAGCAGAAGACGGGACCCAGGGGUGAGACUGGUAUAACCAGCAGCUUCGUGUCUCCUGCUUUCUCACUCUGACUCCCGUGCAUCCAUUUCCCACAAACCUCCAACCGUGCAGUCUCAGAACAGAGGCCUCUGCCUUUGUGAAGCCUGCCUAGGCCUCCCCAAGCAUCCGGGCUCUCGCUACCCGAGACAAUGUCUGCAAAUCGCUACCGCCUUGCUGGAGACACAGGGUGUCACCCACA